GUGGGAUGACGUCAAAUCAUCAUGCCUUAUAUCCUGGGCUACACACGUGCUACAAUGGCCGGUACAGACGGACGCAAAGCCGCGAGGCGGAGCAAAUCCGAAAAAGCCGGUCUCAGUUCGGAUUGCAGGCUGCAAUUCGCCUGCAUGAAGUCGGAAUCGCUAGUAAUCGCAGGUCAGCAUACUGCGGUGAAUACGUUCCCGGGCCUU
Molecule: ribosomal RNA, 207 nt
Filed under: uncultured Peptococcaceae bacterium
Lineage: Bacteria; Bacillati; Bacillota; Clostridia; Eubacteriales; Peptococcaceae
Description: partial 16S ribosomal RNA
Rfam family: Bacterial small subunit ribosomal RNA
Source: RNAcentral